RNAcentral lists this ribosomal RNA (440 nucleotides) under uncultured bacterium. Its description in RNAcentral is "partial 16S ribosomal RNA". It matches the Rfam family "Bacterial small subunit ribosomal RNA", at positions 338 to 795 of the family's 1533-position model. The record is from RNAcentral.
CCUACGGGAGGCAGCAGUAGGGAAUUUUGCGCAAUGGGCGAAAGCCUGACGCAGCAACGCCGCGUGAUCGAGACGCCCUUCGGGGUGUAACGAUCUGUCAGUGGGGACGAAACUUGACGGUACCCACAGAGGAAGCACCGGCUAACUCCGUGCCAGCAGCCGCGGUAAUACGGGGGGUGCAAGCGUUGUCCGGACUCAUUGGGCGUAAAGAGUUCGUAGGCGGCACGUAAAGUCUGGUAAUAAAGGCAGAGGCUCAACUUCUGUACGGCACUGGAUACUUGCGAGCUAGAAUGCGGUAGAGGUAAAGGGAAGUGCUGGUGUAGCGGGGAAAGGCGUAGAUAUCAGGAGGAAGAACGGUGGCGUAAGCGCUUUACUGGGCCGUAAUUGACGCUGAGGAACGAAAGUCAGGGUAGCAAAUGGGAUUAGAUACGCCUGUAGUC